CGCAGCCGCGGUAAUUCCAGCUCCAAUAGCGUAUAUUAAAGUUGUUGCAGUUAAAAAGCUCGUAGUUGAACUUCGGGGUCUACCCAUUGGUCAGGCUUAAUUGUCUGCACUGGUGAGAUGGAUCUCUACCUUCUGAGGAACUUUCAUGCCAUUUAUUUGGUGUGGUUGGAAAUCAGGACUGUUACUUUGAAAAAAUUAGAGUGUUUAAAGCAGACUAUCGUCUGAAUACAUUAGCAUGGAAUAAUGAAAUAGGACGGACUGAUUCUAUUUCGUUGGUUUCUAGGAUCACCGUAAUGAUUAAUAGGGAUAGUUGGGGGCAUUAGUAUUCAAUUGUCAGAGGUGAAAUUCUUGGAUUUAUUGAAGACUAACUACUGCGAAAGCAUUUGCCAAGGAUGUUUUCAUUAAUCAAGAACGAAAGUUAGGGGAUCGAAGACGAUCAGAUACCGUCGUAGUCUUAACCAUAAACUAUGCCGACUAGGGAUCGGACGAAGUUAAUUUUAUAAUGACGCGUUCGGCACCUUACG
This 524-nucleotide unclassified non-coding RNA is filed under the name uncultured Glomeromycotina. RNAcentral describes it as "SSU rRNA". It matches the Rfam family "Eukaryotic small subunit ribosomal RNA", at positions 569 to 1092 of the family's 1831-position model. Lineage: Eukaryota; Fungi; Glomeromycota. The record is from RNAcentral.